UACGUAGGGGGCUAGCGUUGUCCGGAAUCAUUGGGCGUAAAGCGCGUGUAGGCGGUCCGGUAAGUCCGCUGUGAAAGUCGGGGGCUCAACCCUCGGAUGCCGGUGGAUACUGUCGGGCUUGAGUACGGAAGAGGCGAGUGGAAUUCCUGGUGUAGCGGUGAAAUGCGCAGAUAUCAGGAGGAACACCAAUUGCGAAGGCAGCUCGCUGGGACGUUACUGACGCUGAGGCGCGAAAGCUAGGGGAGCAAACAGG
This 253-nucleotide ribosomal RNA is filed under the name uncultured bacterium. RNAcentral describes it as "partial 16S ribosomal RNA". It matches the Rfam family "Bacterial small subunit ribosomal RNA", at positions 524 to 776 of the family's 1533-position model. The record is from RNAcentral.